UCCUGCCGUGCCAAUGGCGAGCCGCUCCUCCCUCCCUCCUCGCUGCGACCCACGCGCCCUCGAAGCCACCGGAGUAGAGCGUGACGGUGGUAGCAUCCAGUGAGCGGCGCAGCUCCCUUUCUCCCUGCCCUUUCUCCCUCGCUCUCAUAACCUCCAUGCAUCUGGAGAUGGAGAGAACGGCGCGGCUCCGACGAGGUAGGUGGGGAGGGAUUUGGAUCUGAGGCCUCCCUCUCCCUUUUCCCUCCCUCAUCUUUUGUGGAUCUGGAUCUAGGCCCUCCUCUACUCCUCCUUCUCCUCUUCCUCUAGGUCUAGAUCUAUGAGAUGUGUUGGCUAGGGUUCCGGCGAGCUCUUGGGAUUCAGUGCUCUCGAGUGUUGUAAUGGUGGUUAUUUGCAGUUUUUCAGGUGAUGUUGCAGUAGGAUAGGGUUUUAGGCAAGCUCUCGGCUUCAGAUUUUGUCAUUGUUGCAAUGGUUCUUUCUAGACGUUGCAGUAGGUUUCAGUCGUUGUUGCAGUAUUGUGUUCUUGAGAUGUUUCAGUUGCUUCAAUCUGCAUGUUGUAGUAGUUUGUUUCAUGUUGUUACAACAGUUGUUUGGUGUUGUUGUAGUACUAUGUUCAUGGUGUUUCAGUUGCUCCAUCCAAUGCUUCAAUCUGCACUGUUGUAUUAGUUGUUGCAUAUUGUUGCAACAUUUGUUCGAUGUUGUUGUAAUACUAUGUCCAUGGUGUUUCGGUUGCUCCAUCCAAUGCUUCAACCUAUGCUAUUGUAUUAGUUGUUACAUGUUGUUGCAACAGCCGUUCGUUGUUGUUGUAAUACUAUGUUUAUGGUGUUUCAGCUGUUCUAACCAAUACUUCAAUCUGUAUGUUGUAGUAGUUGUUUGCAUGCUGUUGCAGCAGUUGUUCGUUGUUUGUUGUAA
RNAcentral lists this long non-coding RNA (909 nucleotides) under Sorghum bicolor (sorghum). RNAcentral describes it as "long non-coding RNA (SBIC_LNC009638)". The record is from RNAcentral. Lineage: Eukaryota; Viridiplantae; Streptophyta; Magnoliopsida; Poales; Poaceae.